UUGCAAUGAUGACUAUCUUAGGACACCUUUGGAAUAACCGUGAAAACAACUAUUAUGUUCUGAGCAAC
Molecule: small nucleolar RNA, 68 nt
Organism: Bufo gargarizans (Asiatic toad)
Lineage: Eukaryota; Metazoa; Chordata; Amphibia; Anura; Bufonidae
Product: small nucleolar RNA SNORD58
Exons: 1
Source: RefSeq, a predicted model, not a curated record